Molecule: ribosomal RNA, 100 nt
Filed under: Bacillus subtilis
Lineage: Bacteria; Bacillati; Bacillota; Bacilli; Caryophanales; Bacillaceae
Description: 23S rRNA. Bacterial LSU
Rfam family: Bacterial large subunit ribosomal RNA
Source: RNAcentral
GGAAGUAAGAUCCCUGAAAGAUGAUCAGGUUGAUAGGUCUGAGGUGGAAGUGUGGCGACACAUGGAGCUGACAGAUACUAAUCGAUCGAGGACUUAACCA